RNAcentral lists this ribosomal RNA (365 nucleotides) under uncultured bacterium. Its description in RNAcentral is "bacterial SSU rRNA". It matches the Rfam family "Bacterial small subunit ribosomal RNA", at positions 527 to 896 of the family's 1533-position model. The record is from RNAcentral.
GGAGGAUCCAAGCGUUAUCCGGAAUCAUUGGGUUUAAAGGGUCCGUAGGCGGUUUGAUAAGUCAGUGGUGAAAGCCCAUCGCUCAACGAUGGAACGGCCAUUGAUACUGUCAGACUUGAAUUAUUGUGAAGUAACUAGAAUAUGUAGUGUAGCGGUGAAAUGCUUAGAUAUUACAUGGAAUACCAAUUGCGAAGGCAGGUUACUAACAAUAUAUUGACGCUGAUGGACGAAAGCGUGGGGAGCGAACAGGAUUAGAUACCCUGGUAGUCCACGCCGUAAACGAUGGAUACUAGCUGUUCGGAGCAAUCUGAGUGGCUAAGCGAAAGUGAUAAGUAUCCCACCUGGGGAGUACGUUCGCAAGAAUG